This 610-nucleotide ribosomal RNA is filed under the name Debaryomyces hansenii. RNAcentral describes it as "eukaryotic LSU rRNA". It matches the Rfam family "Eukaryotic large subunit ribosomal RNA", at positions 37 to 661 of the family's 3401-position model. The record is from RNAcentral. Lineage: Eukaryota; Fungi; Ascomycota; Pichiomycetes; Serinales; Debaryomycetaceae.
UGCAUAUCCAAAAAGCGGAGGAAAAGAAACCAACAGGGAUUGCCUUAGUAACGGCGAGUGAAGCGGCAAAAGCUCAAAUUUGAAAUCUGGCACCUUCGGUGUCCGAGUUGUAAUUUGAAGAAGGUAACUUUGGAGUUGGCUCUUGUCUAUGUUCCUUGGAACAGGACGUCACAGAGGGUGAGAAUCCCGUGCGAUGAGAUGCCCAAUUCUAUGUAAAGUGCUUUCGAAGAGUCGAGUUGUUUGGGAAUGCAGCUCUAAGUGGGUGGUAAAUUCCAUCUAAAGCUAAAUAUUGGCGAGAGACCGAUAGCGAACAAGUACAGUGAUGGAAAGAUGAAAAGAACUUUGAAAAGAGAGUGAAAAAGUACGUGAAAUUGUUGAAAGGGAAGGGCUUGAGAUCAGACUUGGUAUUUUGCGAUCCUUUCCUUCUUGGUUGGGUUCCUCGCAGCUUACUGGGCCAGCAUCGGUUUGGAUGGUAGGAUAAUGACUAAGGAAUGUGGCUCUACUUCGGUGGAGUGUUAUAGCCUUGGUUGAUACUGCCUGUCUAGACCGAGGACUGCGUCUUUGACUAGGAUGCUGGCAUAAUGAUCUUAAGCCACCCGUCUUGAAACCA